CAGUAGCCGCGGUAACACGAAGGGGGCUAGCGUUGCUCGGAAUUACUGGGCGUAAAGGGAGCGUAGGCGGACAUUUAAGUCAGGGGUGAAAUCCCAGAGCUCAACUCUGGAACUGCCUUUGAUACUGGGUGUCUUGAGUGUGAUAGAGGUAUGUGGAACUCCGAGUGUAGAGGUGAAAUUCGUAGAUAUUCGGAAGAACACCAGUGGCGAAGGCGACAUACUGGAUCAUUACUGACGCUGAGGCUCGAAAGCGUGGGGAGCAAACAGGAUUAGAUACCCGAGUAGUCCCUGUCUCUUAUAC
RNAcentral lists this ribosomal RNA (301 nucleotides) under uncultured bacterium. RNAcentral's name for it is "partial 16S ribosomal RNA". It matches the Rfam family "Bacterial small subunit ribosomal RNA", at positions 509 to 807 of the family's 1533-position model. The record is from RNAcentral.